RNAcentral lists this microRNA precursor (104 nucleotides) under Tetraodon nigroviridis (spotted green pufferfish). Its description in RNAcentral is "miRNA (ENSTNIG00000020152.1)". The stretch from base 13 to 84 matches the Rfam family "miR-430 microRNA precursor family". The record is from RNAcentral. Lineage: Eukaryota; Metazoa; Chordata; Actinopteri; Tetraodontiformes; Tetraodontidae.
AGUCUGGUCAGUAACAUGACCCAAACACUGGCACUGACUUGACAUGUUCAGAUAGGGUAAGUGCUACUUGUUGGGGUAAUUUUAUUGACCACUGAAAAGAAAAU